This 547-nucleotide ribosomal RNA is filed under the name uncultured marine picoplankton. Its description in RNAcentral is "SSU rRNA". It matches the Rfam family "Eukaryotic small subunit ribosomal RNA", at positions 597 to 1199 of the family's 1831-position model. The record is from RNAcentral.
GCGUAUAUUAAAGUUGUUGCAGUUAAAAAGCUCGUAGUUGAAUUUCGGGUUUCCGGCGCUCCCGCUUCAUUGCGGGGACACGGGGACCCUCCUCGCCUUAGGGCGUCAUUUACUGUGAAAAAAUUAGAGUGUUCAAAGCAGGCAAUCGCUUGAAUACAUUAGCAUGGAAUAAUAAGAUAGGAUUACGUCUAUUUUGUUGGUUGCGGACGAUAAUAAUGAUUAAUAGGGAUAGUUGGGGGUGUCCGUAUUGAGCUGUCAGAGGUGAAAUUCUUGGAUUUGCUCAAGACGAACUACUGCGAAAGCAUUCACCAAGGAUGUUUUCAUUAAUCAAGAACGAAAGUCAGGGGAUCGAAGAGGAUUAGAUACCCUCGUAGUCUUGACCAUAAACUAUGCCGACUCGGGAUUGGCAGACGUUGUAUCGACUCUGUCAGCACCGUAUGAUAAAUCAAAGUCUUUGGGUUCCGGGGGGAGUAUGGUCGCAAGGCUGAAACUUAAAGGAAUUGACGGAAGGGCACCACCAGGAGUGGAGCCUGCGGCUUAAUUUGAC